Molecule: ribosomal RNA, 585 nt
Filed under: Salmonella enterica
Lineage: Bacteria; Pseudomonadati; Pseudomonadota; Gammaproteobacteria; Enterobacterales; Enterobacteriaceae
Description: partial 23S ribosomal RNA
Rfam family: Bacterial large subunit ribosomal RNA
Source: RNAcentral
GUUAUCACGGGAGACACACGGCGGGUGCUAACGUCCGUCGUGAAGAGGGAAACAACCCAGACCGCCAGCUAAGGUCCCAAAGUCAUGGUUAAGUGGGAAACGAUGUGGGAAGGCCCAGACAGCCAGGAUGUUGGCUUAGAAGCAGCCAUCAUUUAAAGAAAGCGUAAUAGCUCACUGGUCGAGUCGGCCUGCGCGGAAGAUGUAACGGGGCUAAACCAUGCACCGAAGCUGCGGCAGCGAACGUAUCACCCAAGACAACUUUACGGAGUUGACGAUUGACGGAGCGAAGCGACGUCAAAGCGUUCAUUAAAGUCGAGUUGGCUUAGGGAUACGUUCGUUGGGUAGGGGAGCGUUCUGUAAGCCUGCGAAGGUGGCCUGUGAGGGUUGCUGGAGGUAUCAGAAGUGCGAAUGCUGACAUAAGUAACGAUAAAGCGGGUGAAAAGCCCGCUCGCCGGAAGACCAAGGGUUCCUGUCCAACGUUAAUCGGGGCAGGGUGAGUCGACCCCUAAGGCGAGGCCGAAAGGCGUAGUCGAUGGGAAACGGGUUAAUAUUCCCGUACUUGGUGUUACUGCGAAGGGGGGACGG